UACGAAGGGUGCAAGCGUUGCUCGGAAUUAUUGGGCGUAAAGGGUAGGUAGGUGGUUACGUAUGUCUGGGGUGAAAUCCCUGAGCUCAACUCAGGAAGUGCCUUGGAAACGGCGUAACUAGAGUACUAGAGAGGUUCGUGGAAUUCCCGGUGUAGCGGUGAAAUGCGUAGAGAUCGGGAGGAACAUCAGAGGCGAAGGCGGCGAACUGGAUAGUAACUGACACUGAACUACGAAAGCGUGGGUAGCAAACAGG
This 253-nucleotide ribosomal RNA is filed under the name uncultured bacterium. RNAcentral describes it as "partial 16S ribosomal RNA". It matches the Rfam family "Bacterial small subunit ribosomal RNA", at positions 524 to 776 of the family's 1533-position model. The record is from RNAcentral.